CGCAAGAAAUUUGAGUGAAUCUGACUUUAGUACGAGAGGACCGAGUUGGACUGACCGCUGGUGUACCAGUUGUUCCGCCAGGAGCACUGCUGGGUAGCUACGUCGGGAAGGGAUAAGCGCUGAAAGCAUAUAAGCGCGAAACCCAUCACAAGAUGAGAUUUCUUUAAAGGGUCGUGGGAGACUACCACGUUGAUAGGUCAUAGGUGUAAAGGCAGUAAUGUCAUAGCCGAGUGAUACUAAUUACCCGU
This 248-nucleotide non-coding RNA is filed under the name Flavobacteria bacterium BBFL7. Its description in RNAcentral is "Bacterial large subunit ribosomal RNA". It matches the Rfam family "Bacterial large subunit ribosomal RNA", at positions 2652 to 2912 of the family's 2925-position model. Lineage: Bacteria; Pseudomonadati; Bacteroidota; Flavobacteriia. The record is from Rfam by way of RNAcentral.